Long non-coding RNA from Nicrophorus vespilloides, 472 nucleotides. RefSeq lists it as uncharacterized. NCBI's taxonomy places the organism in Eukaryota, Metazoa, Arthropoda, Insecta, Coleoptera, Silphidae. The transcript has 2 exons. The record is from RefSeq and is a predicted model, not a curated record.
GCGUUAAAGUGUUUAUUGCAGAUACAAGAGCGGGCAGAACCAUCUGACGGACUUCAUAGGAAUUGAACCGUCGAAGAAACGCAAACGGAGGACCUCUUUCACUCCGCAAGCCUUGGAACUACUCAACGCGCAUUUCGAGCGAAACACUCAUCCAUCAGGAACCGAGAUCACAGGAUUAGCCCAUCAGCUCGGGUACGAGCGAGAGGUGAUCAGGAUAUGGUUUUGCAACAAGAGGCAGGCCCUCAAGAACACAGUGCGCAUGAUGUCCAAAGGGAUGGUGUAAAUAAGUGCACAUCAAACCAUCUAAAGAGAACAACAACAACAACAAAAUAAACAGAAAACGCCAUGAAUGAAUACAUGCAAAAAAAGUUCUGUGAUUUAAAAGAAAGAAAUUUUUUUUGUGUGUACCAACUAUUGACUAUUGUGGAAAACCGAACACGGAAUUUGAUGAGUGCAUAAACGUUACUAAAAA